RNAcentral lists this transfer RNA (67 nucleotides) under Marmota monax (woodchuck). Its description in RNAcentral is "tRNA.Gly". Lineage: Eukaryota; Metazoa; Chordata; Mammalia; Rodentia; Sciuridae. The record is from RNAcentral.
GGUUAUGGCUCAGUGGUAGAGCAUUUGCUUCCCAUGUGCAAGGCCCUGGGUUUGAUCCUCAGCACCA